GAUGCAAAGUAUUGUUCCUGGGUAUGUCUGUGAGGGUAUGGCCAAAGGAGAUUAACAGUUGAAUCAGUGGACUGGGAAAGCCAGACCCACCCUUAAUCUGGGUGUGCACCAUCUAAUCAGCAGCCAACUUGACCAGAAUUAAAAAGCAGGUGGAAGAAUGGGAAAAGACUAGACUGGCUUAGCCUUCCAGCCUACAUUUUUCUCAGUACUGGAUGUUUCCUGCCCUCUAACAUCAAACUCCAAGUUCUUCAGCUUUGGGACUCAGACUGACUUCCUUGCUCCUCAGCUUGCAGACAGACAGCCUAUUAUGGGACCUUGUGAUUGUGAAGAGAUGCUGCUGAAAGGAAAACGAAACACAAAUUGGCAACAUCAAAUUUCAACGAAACUGUCAAGCAAGCAUGGAGAGAAAGCAUUCCAGGAGCACCAAGAAGUGGAUCUCCAAACAUGAUGAGAAGUUAGAUGCCAUGACAUGUGAGCAGCCCUGUGGAAGGCCCCCAUGGUGAAGAACUGAGACCUUCUGACAACAAUCGCAAGAGUGGGCUUGGAAGCAGAUAUUCUGGCACCUUCAGAGGAUCACAGCCUUGGCCAACAACUUGACCAAAACCUCAUGAGAACCCUGAGUCAGAACUACCCAGCUAAGCGGCUCCCACUUGAAACUAAUGUAUAAAAUCCACAGAAGGUCUGUGUGAUAAUAAUAUUUGUUGUUUUAAUGACAUCAUUAGAACCUACAUAAAUGCAAGAUGGGCAUCAAA
Molecule: non-coding RNA, 752 nt
Organism: Callithrix jacchus (white-tufted-ear marmoset)
Lineage: Eukaryota; Metazoa; Chordata; Mammalia; Primates; Cebidae
Source: RefSeq, a predicted model, not a curated record